This 303-nucleotide ribosomal RNA is filed under the name Triticum aestivum (bread wheat). RNAcentral's name for it is "partial small subunit ribosomal RNA". The record is from RNAcentral. Lineage: Eukaryota; Viridiplantae; Streptophyta; Magnoliopsida; Poales; Poaceae.
AUGGUGCUCAUUUUCUGCUUGGUUUUACCUCAGGUGAUUGCAUUCAGCGAUGAGGAGGGCGUUAGAUUUCAGACAAUGUUUCUGGGAAGCGCCGCUGUAGCUGGUAUUCUACUUGAAUCAAUUUUGCAAUUAUCUGACAAGAGUGGCACUAACGUUCAAGAGGCUCUUCGGCUGAACUCCUUCGAGGCUAGCGUUGAUGCUCUUGGUCAAGUCAAGUACAGCCUGGAGUCUUAUUCAGAAUUAGAAGUUCAAAAGAAGAGUUCCAUGAAAGUCAAAAUCAAGAAAGAGCGUUAUGAAGUAUAA